AGAAGACGUUCUUCUAACUUUUUUGAGAGUGAAUUCUUAACUUCGAGAUCAAUCCAACUAAUUUUUGAAUCGAGGCAUGUAACUAGCAAUGUGUGGAUUUUGAUCCUACUGGUAUCUUAGGAUCCCAGGCGACAAACCAAACGUCUACAACCAUGCAGGAAGAUGAAA
Long non-coding RNA from Ipomoea triloba (trilobed morning glory), 168 nucleotides. RefSeq lists it as uncharacterized. The transcript is spliced from 2 exons. Lineage: Eukaryota; Viridiplantae; Streptophyta; Magnoliopsida; Solanales; Convolvulaceae. The record is from RefSeq and is a predicted model, not a curated record.